This 891-nucleotide ribosomal RNA is filed under the name Pseudodidymocyrtis lobariellae. Its description in RNAcentral is "partial large subunit ribosomal RNA". It matches the Rfam family "Eukaryotic large subunit ribosomal RNA", at positions 23 to 931 of the family's 3401-position model. The record is from RNAcentral. Lineage: Eukaryota; Fungi; Ascomycota; Dothideomycetes; Pleosporales; Didymosphaeriaceae.
ACCCGCUGAACUUAAGCAUAUCAAUAAGCGGAGGAAAAGAAACCAACAGGGAUUGCCCUAGUAACGGCGAGUGAAGCGGCAACAGCUCAAAUUUGAAAUCUGGCCCUCUUUGGGGGUCCGAGUUGUAAUUUGCAGAGGGUGCUUUGGCAUUGGCGGCGGUCUAAGUUCCUUGGAACAGGACAUCGCAGAGGGUGAGAAUCCCGUACGUGGGCGCCUGCCUUUGCCGUGUAAAGCCCCUUCGACGAGUCGAGUUGUUUGGGAAUGCAGCUCUAAUUGGGAGGUAAAUUUCUUCUAAAGCUAAAUACCGGCCAGAGACCGAUAGCGCACAAGUAGAGUGAUCGAAAGAUGAAAAGUACUUUGGAAAGAGAGUCAAAUAGCACGUGAAAUUGUUGAAAGGGAAGCGCUUGCAGCCAGACGUGCCCGCAGUUGCUCACCCAGGCUCCGGCCUGGGGCACUCUUCUGCGGGCAGGCCAGCAUCAGUUUGGGCGGUUGGAUAAAGGCCUCUGUCACGUAUCUCCCUUCGGGGUGACCUUAUAGGGGAGGCGCAAUGCAACCAGCCCGGACUGAGGUCCGCGCAUCUGCUAGGAUGCUGGCGUAAUGGCUGUAAGCGGCCCGUCUUGAAACACGGACCAAGGAGUCUAACAUCUAUGCGAGUGUUUGGGUGUCAAGCCCGGGCGCGUAAUGAAAGUGAACGGAGGUGGGAACCCUUUGGGUGCACCAUCGACCGAUCCUGAUGUCUUCGGAUGGAUUUGAGUAAGAGCAUAGCUGUUGGGACCCGAAAGAUGGUGAACUAUGCUUGAAUAGGGUGAAGCCAGAGGAAACUCUGGUGGAGGCUCGCAGCGGUUCUGACGUGCAAAUCGAUCGUCAAAUUUGGGCAUAGGGGCGAAAGAC